Molecule: long non-coding RNA, 398 nt
Organism: Vespa mandarinia (Asian giant hornet)
Lineage: Eukaryota; Metazoa; Arthropoda; Insecta; Hymenoptera; Vespidae
Source: RefSeq, a predicted model, not a curated record
CAAGGUACGUCUACUUAUACCUAGAUUUAUUGCAGGAGUAACCUAUUCAUCGAGAAGUGCAUUCAAAUAGGAUUUAUACAGUAGUAGCUCGUGCCUAUAACCGGAUAGUCGAGAAGAGGAACAAGAGGAGGAAGAGGAAUAAGAGGAGAAAGGGAAAGGCUAGGUUCGCUUGAAACUCGUAACACUGGCUAGAGGGAUGGUCUCGACGUUGAGGGAUGGUGUGUCGUUUCGAGACGCGCACGGAAUGCCUCGCGAUACGUCUGUGAUGCGCUCACGACGCGCGCAUAACGUUCCAACGUGUAACUCCUAUUUCUCUAUCUUCAUCCUACUUCCUCUCCUUCCCCCUCAUCUCUCUCUCUCUCUCUCUCUUAUAUAUAAUACACACACAAACGCACGGA